Molecule: ribosomal RNA, 301 nt
Filed under: uncultured bacterium
Lineage: Bacteria
Description: partial 16S ribosomal RNA
Rfam family: Bacterial small subunit ribosomal RNA
Source: RNAcentral
CAGUCGCCGCGGUAAAACGGAGGGUGCAAGCGUUAAUCGGAAUUACUGGGCGUAAAGCGUGCGUAGGCGGUUCGUUAAGUCUGUUGUGAAAGCCCCGGGCUCAACCUGGGAAUGGCAAUGGAUACUGGCGAGCUAGAGUGUGUCAGAGGAUGGUGGAAUUCCCGGUGUAGCGGUGAAAUGCGUAGAGAUCGGGAGGAAUAUCAGUGGCGAAGGCGGCCAUCUGGGACAACACUGACGCUGAGGCACGAAAGCGUGGGGAGCAAACAGGAUUAGAUACCCCCGUAGUCCCUGUCUCUUAUAA